Molecule: ribosomal RNA, 500 nt
Filed under: uncultured bacterium
Lineage: Bacteria
Description: partial 16S ribosomal RNA
Rfam family: Bacterial small subunit ribosomal RNA
Source: RNAcentral
AUUGAACGCUGGCGGAAUGCUUUACACAUGCAAGUCGAACGGCAGCACGGACUUCGGUCUGGUGGCGAGUGGCGAACGGGUGAGUAAUGUAUCGGAACGUGCCCAGUCGUGGGGGAUAACGUAGUGAAAAUUACGCUAAUACCGCAUACGAUCUAUGGAUGAAAGCGGGGGAUCGCAAGACCUCGCGCGAUUGGAGCGGCCGAUAUCAGAUUAGGUAGUUGGUGGGGUAAAGGCCCACCAAGCCAACGAUCUGUAGCUGGUCUGAGAGGACGACCAGCCGCACUGGAACGGAGACACGGUCCAGACUCCUACGGGAGGGAGCAGUGGGGAAGUUUGGACAAUGGGCGAAAGCCUGAUCCAGCCAGUCCGCGUGCAGGAUGAAGGCCCUCGGGUUGUAAACUGCUUUUGUACAGAACGAAAAGGUUUCUACUAAUACUAGGAGCUCAUGACGGUACUGUAAGAAUAAGCACCGGCUAACUACGUGCCAGCCGCCGCCGUAA